GACGAACGCUGGCGGCGUGCUUAACACAUGCAAGUCGAACGGAAAGGCCCCUUUGGGGGUCCUCGAGUGGCGAACGGGUGCGUAACACGUGAGUAACCUGCCCUUGACUUCGGGAUAACUUCAGGAAACUGGGGCUAAUACCGGAUAGGAAUCCUUGCUGCAUGGGGGGGGUUGGAAAGCUUCGGCGGUUUUGGAUGGACUCGCGGCUUAUCUGCUUGUUGGUGUGGUAGUGGCUUACCAAGGCUUUGUCGGGUAGCCGGCCUGCGAGGGCGACCGGCCACAGUGGGACUGAGAGACGGCCCAGACACCGACGGGAGGGAGAAGGGGGGAAGAUUGCACAAUGGGCGGAAGCCUGAUGCAGAAACGCCGCGUGCGGGAUGACGGCCUUCGGGUUGUAAAACGCGUUCAGCAGGGGCGAAGCUUGUGGUGACGGUACCUGCAGAAGAAGCACCGGCUAACUACGUG
Molecule: ribosomal RNA, 465 nt
Filed under: uncultured bacterium
Lineage: Bacteria
Description: partial 16S ribosomal RNA
Rfam family: Bacterial small subunit ribosomal RNA
Source: RNAcentral